Molecule: long non-coding RNA, 3038 nt
Organism: Pan troglodytes (chimpanzee)
Lineage: Eukaryota; Metazoa; Chordata; Mammalia; Primates; Hominidae
Exons: 4
Source: RefSeq, a predicted model, not a curated record
AGGCCAAUGUCUUUCCUCUGGUUAAGUUGUACUGUCCUGUAGUGUAUAACUUUGGGAUCUUUAUUAGUCGAUUUCCUCUAAGCUACAGAAUGAAUCUGGAUAUACACCAAAUAACUUUUUUGGUCAGAAAGGAGCAUCCCAAAGAAUGAAGCAUGGCAGCUUAUCAUUUAUUCUAACAAACACUUGUGGGUGCAUCUAUUAUGGCCAGACGUAUACUACAAAAUGAUCGAAUCACAGCCCUUAUGGAUCGCCAAAACUCCCCAGUCUAGCCGCCUUUGAUGAUCAAGACCUCUUUAAUCAUGCUUUUAUACGCCGUGUCUCUUGUUCAUAGUGCACAACCAGUUCCAGUGUUUUCUCUUUCUUUUAUCAAUGCUGAAUAUUGAAAAAGGGCAUGCUGCCUGUUUCAACUUAGCGUGACUCCAUGCUUAUGGGUUUCCUCUUCCAGUGGGCCCUGCAAAUUAUGUAGCCAGCCCUGCUCAGACCCAGCUAAGGCAUCAGAGCACCAGAAACCUGCCCAGCGGAGAAUUUCCAGGAGACUGCUGGGCAACAGACAACAAGCCAGGGGUCCUAAUUUCAGGGUUCAUGUUCAUGAGGUCAAAGAACUCUGUGGACUGUAGGAAGCCAAGAGAAUGAAUUCACACAUUUCCGGGAUGAUGUAAAUUUAUCAGCUUAAAACAGUUUUUUCUAUUACUCCCAUAAAUAAACAUAACAGCCAUUGAACGUGCUGUUGCUUACUAGUAUUAUAGAAACAUUAGAGAUAAGGCUCAGUUUGAUUUAAGCAGAAAAGUGAACCUGGUCUCCAUGCUUCUUAAAGUCUUUUGCACCUUCUUGCCACAACCCUGAAGUUGAAUCAUGAUUAAAUUAUUCCUUGAGAUCCUGCCAGUAAACCAGACACCUGCUCAGAUGCAAGUGUUGUUUCUACCUUCUCUAGGAACCUUCUGCCUCAGUUAGCAGCCCUGCCCCUGUGCCCCGCUCCACAUCACUCCCCAUUUCCAGCCUUUCCUUUCCUCCUGGUUCUUUCCUCUUUGUUUCCCAACAGACUGAGCAUCACAGUCCCGAUGCUCAGGCAAUGCUAUCCAGAUUCUCUCCUUCCUUCCUCUCGUGGCCGAUCUCAGAUGCUGCAAAUUUCUCACCUUUGGUUCCUUCCCCCCUCACCCUCAUGCUCUCUGGCUUUCAUCCUCUGUAUUAGAACUGCCAAAUAUCACACCUGUAAUCCCAGCACUUUGGGAGGCCAAGGUGGGUUGAUCACGAGGUCAAAAGAUCAAGACCAUCCUGGCCAACAUGGUGAAACCCCAUCUCUACUAAAAAUACAAAAAUUAGCUGGGCGUGGUGGCGUGCGCCUGUAGUCCCACCUGCUCAGGAGGCUGAGGCAGGAGAAUCACUUGAACCUGGGAGGCAGAGGUUGCAGUAAGCCCAGAUCGUGCCACUGCACUCCAGCCUGGGUGACAGAGCGAGAUUCUGUCUCAAAACAAAACAGAACAAAACAAAACAAAAAAGAACUGCCAAAUAAAGAUCACUCUUCAUGGUUCAGAGUUUCAUCAGCCUGAUUCCCUGGAAAUAGGGUCACCUCAUGACUUCUGGAGGCCUGAGGCACUUUUGCCUUUGGGGACCUUUCUUCUGUUAAAAAAAAUGAAAAUUAUAUUUCAUAACUAUUUGAUAUAAAGAUAAGUAUGAUCAAGUCUAAAUUGUAUUCAUUUUAAAAUAUUAUUUUACAAUACAUUAAAACGUGUGUGUGUGUGUGCAUGUGUGUGUGUGCGCGCAUGCGCGCGUGUGUGUGUGUGCGUGUGUGUGUGUGUGUGUGUGUGUGCUUUUGGACAGGGUCUUGCUCUGUCGCCCAGAUUGAGAUCAUAGCUCACUGCAGCCUCGACCUCUUGGGCUCAGGCAAUCCAUUCACCUUGGCCUCCCAAAGUGCUGGGAUUACAGGCGUGUGCCACCCUGCCCGGCCUCUCAUGGGCUUUUAAAGUAUUGUGGCUCUAGGCACUGUGCCUAUUGUGCCUAAAGGAAGCUAAUGGAGAAGUCAGGACUGCUUUGAAGGGCUUGGUAAAUGGGAGUAAACCUUCCUAAAACCUUUUCUCUCUGGGAAACCAUACUACUUUAAACAAACAAACAAACAAACAAACAAAACAUUGUAUUUCUGGGCGUGGUGGCUCACGCCUGUAAUCCCAGCACUUUGGGAGGCCGAGGCCAGCAGAUCGCCCGAGGUCAGGAGUUUGAGACCAGCCUGGCCAACAUGGUGAAACCCCGUCUCUACUAAAAAAUACAAAAAUUAGCCAGGUGUGGUGGCAGGCGCCUGUAAUCCCAGCUACUUGGCGGGCCGAGGCAGGAGAAUCACUUGAACCCGGGAGGCGGAGGUUGUAGUGAGCCGAGAUCACACCCCUGCACUCCAGCCUGGGUGACAGAGUAACACUCCAUCUCAAAAAAAAAAAAAAAAAUUAUAUUCCCUUUGUUGGAAAAACAAUAUACUUACAAAGAAAAUUUUAAUGAAAAAAGAACCCUCUCAUAAUCCCAUAUCCUAACACAACUCUUCAUUUUCAGUUUUGUGAUUCACUUCCUUGUCCAGAUGCAAAGCUAUUUUCCUCUUCCAGAUGCAAAGCUAUUUUCCUCUUCCAGAUGCAAAGCUAUUUUACACAAUUAACGGCUGUUGUGUUUGCGCAGUUUUGUAUUCUGUUUUUUCCAUUUAACAUAAUUUUCUUGAAAACAUUUUCCAUGUUUCUUUUCUUUUUUUCUUUUUCUUUUUUUUUUCUGAGAUGGAGUCUCGCUCUGUCCUCCAGGCUGGAGUGCAGUGGCGCCAUCUCGGCUCACUGCAAGCUCCGCCUCCCGAGUUCACGCCAUUGUCUUGCCUCAGCCUCACAAGUAGCUGGAGCUACAGGCGCCCGCCACCACGCCUGGCUAAUUUUUUGUAUUUUCAGUAGAGAUGGGGUUUCACCAUGUUAGCCAGGAUGGUCUCGAUUUCCUGACCUCAUGAUCCACCCGCCUCAGCCUCCCAAAGUGCUGGGAUUACCGGCGUGAGCCAUGGCACCCGGCCUUUUUUUUUUUUU